UACGAUGUCCCUUUUGCAUCCAAAGGAUAAAACUACUUACUUCUCAAUAGUAAGGACAGUUUUACCCUCCUAAGGAUAGGAAAUGCCCAUAAAGACCUUGGAUAGGUAUAACUCUUAAAUGUUGACUCACGACCUAAAAACAUUUUUCAUACAUCACACUUUGCAAAACAUCUAUUAGAAAAUCACCACUUGGUAUACAUUCGUGCUAGAAUCAUUGCCAAGUUAUAUUUUUCUAAACAGUUUUCAAAAUUAAACGAGAUGAAUAC
RNAcentral lists this long non-coding RNA (266 nucleotides) under Lathyrus oleraceus (garden pea). RNAcentral describes it as "Pisum sativum (pea) long non-coding RNA (PSAT_LNC013155)". Lineage: Eukaryota; Viridiplantae; Streptophyta; Magnoliopsida; Fabales; Fabaceae. The record is from RNAcentral.